GACAGUAAACUGAAUAUCUUUGGGUUUUGGACUAUUGACCAGACAAAACGAGGCAUUUGAAGACGUCAACCUGCACUGUAAGACAUUAUAAAAGGGCAUUUUUCACUGUGUUGACAUUUUAUAGACAAAACAAUUAAUAGAUUAAUUUAGAUUAUAAUAGUCAGCUGCAGCCCUAAUUUAUUUUGAAGUUUUCAGUAUUUCUUCGCUCUAAAUGGGAUGUAAAUCUCCAUCUUGAUAAAAGUUGUUGGACUAUGAAAACACUGAGGACAAACCUGGAAAUUAAUCCAGGACUCAAUUAUUCUAUCCUUGACAAAGUCUGAUGUGUUGUAAAUAUAUUAGGAUGGUGUCAAUAAACCAAACCAAACGGCUGAAAAUGUCAAGCUACAGUAUGUCUCAAUUUACUGUAUGACAUCAGCUCUCUGUUCUUUGUAAAGCUGAAACUUCCUGUUAACAUCAGAGUCAGUUAUCUGCAGGAAGUAGCCAUUCGUCAUCGGCCUUUGGGGGAAUCCACAUUAUCAUUGAAUUUUGACACAACUGGUCAGUCAGCAGUUUCAACAGGUUGGAGUGUUGGUCAGGUUUAGGAAGAUUGACUGGAAAAACAUGAUUAAUGGAGACUAAUGGCGACCUCUCCUCCCUUUCUGAUCCAAUCCACAUUCCUCUGUUUGCAGUGAGUGACAGACUAUUCAUUAGAUGGAGGGGUGGAGCUGAUCUAUUAUUGGUAUUCAUGAGCUGGCAGCAGCAUCUCGAGCUGCUUGACCUCGUUUGCCGUCUGCAGCU
This is a long non-coding RNA of Thunnus maccoyii (southern bluefin tuna), 777 nucleotides long. RefSeq lists it as uncharacterized. NCBI's taxonomy places the organism in Eukaryota, Metazoa, Chordata, Actinopteri, Scombriformes, Scombridae. The transcript has 2 exons. The record is from RefSeq and is a predicted model, not a curated record.